GUUUUGUAUUGUUUUUAUAGAGCUGCUCUCACAUGCUUCAGCAAUAUUAGAUGUCCUGGAUGCAGGAAACUCCAAGAUCAUGUUGCCUGAAGAUUUAAUGUCUGAUAUGAUGUUUCCUUAUGUUGCCCGGGCUGGUCUUGAAUUUCUCAGCUCAAGUGAUUUAUCUGCCUGGGCCUCCUAAAGUGCUGGGAUUACAGGCGUGAUCCACCAUGCUCAGCCUGCUCAUCAUUAUUUAUAUAAACUUCAGUCCUAAGAAUUGUGCUUUUCCUUGUGUAGGAUUUACUAAAAAGAGUCUUUUCUUUGGAAUAAACUCUUUUGUGAUUUUUGUAUGAAAAAAUAAUAAGACUAGGAUUAUAGAGCAUAAAUCCUGUGUUGC
This is a long non-coding RNA of Sapajus apella (tufted capuchin), 376 nucleotides long. RefSeq lists it as uncharacterized. NCBI's taxonomy places the organism in Eukaryota, Metazoa, Chordata, Mammalia, Primates, Cebidae. The transcript is spliced from 4 exons. The record is from RefSeq and is a predicted model, not a curated record.